AGUGAACGCUGGCGGUAGGCCUAACACAUGCAAGUCGAACGGCAGCACAGUAAGAGCUUGCUCUUACGGGUGGCGAGUGGCGGACGGGUGAGGAAUACAUCGGAAUCUACUUUUUCGUGGGGGAUAACGUAGGGAAACUUACGCUAAUACCGCAUACGACCUACGGGUGAAAGCAGGGGAUCUUCGGACCUUUCGCGAUUGAUUGAGCCGAUGUCGGAUUAGCUAGUUGGCGGGGUAAAGGCCCACCAAGGCGACGAUCCGUAGCUGGUCUGAGAGGAUGAUCAGCCACACUGGAACUGAGACACGGUCCAGACUCCUACGGGAGGCAGCAGUGGGGAAUAUUGGACAAUGGGCGCAAGCCUGAUCCAGCCAUACCGCGUGGGUGAAGAAGGCCUUCGGGUUGUAAAGCUCUUUUGUUGGGAAAGAAAAGCAGCAGGUUAAUACCCCGCUGUUCUGACGGUACCCAAAGAAUAAGCACCGGCUAACUUCGUG
This 492-nucleotide ribosomal RNA is filed under the name uncultured bacterium. Its description in RNAcentral is "partial 16S ribosomal RNA". It matches the Rfam family "Bacterial small subunit ribosomal RNA", at positions 29 to 507 of the family's 1533-position model. The record is from RNAcentral.